GGGUGUCGUGGACAUCAGCGGGCAUCGGCGGACGCCGCUUCCCGGUCUUACAAACCGGGUCGCUGGUUCGAACCCAGCUGCGCCCA
RNAcentral lists this transfer RNA (86 nucleotides) under Actinomycetota bacterium. Its description in RNAcentral is "tRNA-OTHER". Lineage: Bacteria; Bacillati; Actinomycetota. The record is from RNAcentral.